RNAcentral lists this ribosomal RNA (505 nucleotides) under uncultured bacterium. RNAcentral's name for it is "partial 16S ribosomal RNA". It matches the Rfam family "Bacterial small subunit ribosomal RNA", at positions 28 to 507 of the family's 1533-position model. The record is from RNAcentral.
GACGAACGCUGGCGGCGUGCCUAAUACAUGCAAGUAGAACGCACAGUUUAUACCGUAGCUUGCUACACCAUAGACUGUGAGUUGCGAACGGGUGAGUAACGCGUAGGUAACCUGCCUGGUAGCGGGGGAUAACUAUUGGAAACGAUAGCUAAUACCGCAUAAUAUUGAUUAUUGCAUGAUAAUUGAUUGAAAGAUGCUAUUGCAUCACUACCAGAUGGACCUGCGUUGUAUUAGCUAGUAGGUGAGGUAACGGCUCACCUAGGCGACGAUACAUAGCCGAACUGAGAGGGUGAUCGGCCACACUGGGACUGAGACACGGCCCAGACUCCUACGGGAGGCAGCAGGAGGGAAUCUUCGGCAAUGGACGAAAGUCUGACCGAGCAACGCCGCGGGAGUGAAGAAGGUUGUCGGAUCGUAAAGCUCUGUUGUAAGAGAAGAACGGGUGUGAGAGUGGAAAGUUCACACUGUGACGGUAUCUUACCAGAAAGGGACGGCUAACUACGUG